RNAcentral lists this ribosomal RNA (465 nucleotides) under uncultured bacterium. RNAcentral describes it as "partial 16S ribosomal RNA". It matches the Rfam family "Bacterial small subunit ribosomal RNA", at positions 338 to 795 of the family's 1533-position model. The record is from RNAcentral.
CCUACGGGAGGCAGCAGUAGGGAAUCUUCCACAAUGGACGAAAGUCUGAUGGAGCAACGCCGCGUGAGUGAAGAAGGGUUUCGGCUUGUAAAGCUCUUUUGGUAGGGAAGAAAGAUAGAGGGAGUAACUGGGCUUUAGUUGACGGUAAUUACUUAGAAAGUCACGGCUAACUACGUGCCAGCAGCCGCCGUAAUGCGUAGGUGGCAAGCGUUGUCCGGAUUUAUUGGGCGUAAAGCGAGUGCAGGCGGUACAAUAAGGCUGAUGUGAAAGCCUUCGGCUCAACCGGGGACUUGCAUCUGAAACUGUUGAACUUGAGUGGAGAAGAGGAGAGUGGAACUCCAUGUGUAGCGGUGGAAUGCGUAGAUAUAUGGAAGAACACCAGUGGCGAAGGCGGCUCGCUGGUCUGCCACUGACGCUGAGGCUCGAAAGCAUGGGUAGCGAACAGGAUUAGAUACCCGGGUAGUC